Molecule: long non-coding RNA, 35071 nt
Organism: Orcinus orca (killer whale)
Lineage: Eukaryota; Metazoa; Chordata; Mammalia; Artiodactyla; Delphinidae
Exons: 2
Source: RefSeq, a predicted model, not a curated record
CAUGGUUCAUGCAAAUGAUCCGUGAAGGGAAAGCGGAAAUCUGAUGAGGAUCUUGAGACGUUACCCUCAAGAACUACAAUAUCCUUCACAUCAAGUCCCUUUCCACUCGAUACUUGGACUCAAAGACCAUCCACCAGGAUGCACGUCGAUCUCAGCAUCAUUCUCCGUGGAUGAGAAAGCCUACAGCCACCUUUCCAGGCGCCAGACACGCACACCCGUAAGGGCAGCACUCAAACUGAAAUCGUCCUCUCAACACUGGUCCCUGCCUCCUGCUGUCCAGUCUUUAAAGUGGGUCUCGCUUCAGUCAGCCGUGACACUAAUGAUACCACUGUAAGCACAGUAAGAUUUUGCAUUUUUUAAAGAAGUCUCUGAGAAAAGGUUUUCUUCUGGUUCUCUUGGGGUAGAGAAGCCAAGGUGCAGGAAAGCUGGCUGCCUUGUCUAAGGGCACCUGGCCAGACCUGACCUCAGGUCUCUAAUUCCUGAGGGCAAACUCAGAAGUUCAAGGAUGUGAGCUCCUGAGUCAGUAGAAACCAAAGGAUAGAGAUACUCUUAAGUCAUCUCCCAGUUUUGUUCCCCAGAUAUUUAAGGACCACAUCAUCGUAGCCCAGCCUCUCCUCAGAGGUCAUCCUUCCUUUAUAUCCUUACUGUGCAGAGAUAUUUAGUCUUCAUGUGGCAACCCUGAGGGAUUCUAGUAGCAUCAGCAUUUCUUACUGGCCUUUCACGCUGCUCCUAAGGAUUACUCUGAUUGUAAGAAGUAGAAGCGCAGGUCGCGUUUCCCUUGCAUGAGCCAGUCAGGCUCCUUUCAUUCAUUCUCCGUAAUUAUGGCCCAUGGACUAGGUGCCGGACAUGUGCUUGUGCUCUCUUCGCCGUGGACCACCUCUUCCCUGAGAAUUAGAGUCCUCUCUCUUUCCAGCUGCGUGCAUCCUAUCCUGUCCCGUAACUAGCAGAGACAUUCUCCCACUUUUCUAUAAACUCCCGUUAUUUCCAUUUAAAAUGGUUCUGUAAAGACAGCUAGACCCUGGCAGCUCUUGUGAGUUCUUUCUCUGCUGGAAGCAAGGUCUGGACUAGCCCCCAUUAAACCUAGUUUCCCUGUCUGCUUCCCAAGUGGGAUCCGAAAAGUGGGAGAGGCCCUUUGUGCGUGUGCCAGCCGGCGCCAGGAAGGAUGCCCAGAUGCCGGACAGACAGCUGUCACAAUCUAGGCAGCAAGAAGUAACUGAGGACUUUGCACCUGAGACAGCAGACAGGGCUCCUUGGGUGCUUCACACAGAAGGAGAAGCAGGGAAGCCGGCCAGACCUUGCUUUCAUCUUUGUCCUUCUUUCCAUGUUGCUGUUCUGGAGCUAUUCCUUCUGAUUCCCCUCUGUAAGACAUUAUUGGACUAACGAUCACUUAAUCACCCCCACUUAUUGUAGCUCCGCAGUUGGUCACGCCCCUCAGGAUCGUAAGCAGGCUUAUUUGGAAUUGCUGCUUCCGGUGCUCCGUAACCGUGGGGGGAAGAAGGGGUUCCCACCCCAGGUAACUCACAGAGGUUGUGUGUUUAUCAAAGAGAAAACAUUUUCCAAGCAUUUCAAAAUACGGUUAUAUACCUCGCUUAAUAGCCCAUGUCUGUGAGAGAAAAAGAAGUAGAAGCAACAGUUGGGACUGGGAAACUCUGCAUCUGCAGGAACCGAGUAGGUGCCGGGCUGUGUUUCUUCACUCUGAUGAGAUUUCCUUGAAUACAUGAAUUACGAUUGUGACUUCAGCUAAAUCUUAAAUGUGUAGCCCCUUUUUCUUUAAACCUGGUGAAAACUAAAGUAUCUGUACAAAGUUUGGGUUUAUUUACAGCUGUGUGAUACUCUCAGUGUUCAUCAGAGUGUACCCUGGCAAGGCGACCCUUCAGUUCUUCUGGGCUCUGAGAGAGCAGACCUGGGUAACAGAGGUUCCCAACCACUCAUUCAUGUAGGCUAGUGAGUUGAGCACUGAACUUACACCCAAAUAAUGUUUUUACUCUACCAGUGAUGGUAUAUACGUGUAUCCAGCUAUACAAGGGUUGUGUGUAACAUAAGUAUUUGGAUGAAGAAAUAUAUUGUUACUGUAGUACGUAAUUUUACACUGAGAAGAUCAGCUGGAUGUCAUGUUUUCUGAUUCCGGAUAACAACAAGGUGUUGGAGUUAUACCAUUUUUGCCAGCAGCUCUUUAGUGAUGACAGGAUUCCAUACCACAUCAGCUAUCCUUAAGCUAGUGUUUUUUUUAAUGAAGCAAUUCAAAUAGUGGCUGUGUCAGACCCAGAACUAUGAACCUGCCAUUGUAAGCAGUUCAGAGCAGACAUUAUGUACAACCAUCGAAGAUACUAGGAAAUGGGUCGAUAUUAUGGGUAGCAGCCUUUUAGCUAACCUGAGUGUGUGUAUAUGUGAGAUGAAGCAUUUUCAGUGUUUAGCUUACACUUAUUAUUUUUGUGGAUCACUAAAAGCAAAGUAAUGUGCCCAGUUUAUUGGCAUUUUGGGUGGUGAUAAGUGAGAGUCUCUGAAACCAUAUUUUUUACUUCAUCUGAUACUUUAUGGUUUAGUUUUUAAAUGACCGUUCGAGAGGAACGUCCCGCAAUCACUUUCUGAAUGCGCCUGUCGUGAGAUGAGAAGCCAUUGAACAGUGACAGGCCUCUCUCACGUGGGUCUCCGCAGAGCCUGUGCCAGUGCCCCAUGGGGUGGUCAGAAUUGAGUGAAAGGGAUGCCUUACCUGCCCCCAGUGGGCACCCUGUAGAACAGCCUGUGAAAAGGUAGGAGUGUUUUAUCUGUAUGUCUUGUGGGGAAAAGUAAUAAUGCACUUUAUCUCUCUUCAAGUACACUUUUAGCUUAAGUACCAUUUUGGUAGGUUCAGGGGAAUCUCUAAAAUUUACUUGGAAAUUGUUUUUAUGAAGGAGAGGAAAGUCAGUCCGUACAUUAGGGGCAUUUAAAAUACAUGGAAAGAAUUAUACAUUAUUCACAAUAUCCAAGAGGUGGAAGCAACCCAAAUUUCCACUGACGGAUGGACAAACAAAAUGUGGCAUUUACAUACAAUGGAAUAUUAUUCAGCCCUUAAAAGGAAGGAAAUUCUGACACAGGCUACAACAUGGAUGGACCUUGAGGACUGUGCUCAGUGAACUAAGCUAGGCACAAAAGGACCAGUACCGUGUGAUUCCGCUUAUCUGAGGUCCCUAAAGUGGUCAAUUCAAGGAGGUAGAAAGUAGGAUGUUGGUUGCCAGGGGCUGGGGGAGCAGGAAAGGGGAGUUAGCGUUUAAUGGGGACAGUUUCAGUUUUUCAGGAUGAAAAAGUUCUAGAGAUUUGGUUUACAAUAAUGUGAACGUACUUAACACUACUGAACUAUACGCUUAAAAUUGGUUAAAAUGGUAACUUUUUGUGGGGUUUUUUUCACAAUAAAAAAAAUUCUCCCUUCCCCUAAAAAAGAACUAUAUAACCAGUCCUCAAUUUUUCUCUUAAUUGAGAAAAAUAAAAUUGAAUGCCUCAGACAUUGAUUGAUAACUUGAGGCUGGGAAACCUUAGUCAUUCGGAGCUGGAACUACAAGCCUUCAGCUUCUCAUCUGUAAAAUCAAAGGGUUAUGCUGUAGUUUCUAAGGCUACUUCCAGUUCUAAAAUGCCAUGGUUCAACGUUUCACAUCAGUAUCUGUCCCCUUCUUGAUUAUUUGCAGAAAUACUGGUACAUUUUAGAGUAAAUUACUCUAUGCUCAGCUUCCCUUGACCAUUUUUCACCAAGAUCUUAACUUUCCAGAGUUUAGGCUAUAGGUGAGCAAAGGGGUACGCCAGCCGUGUAUUUAUGCCAUCGUAAAUUCCUAAAACUUCUCUUGGUCUAACCUUUCUGCUACGAGGAAAGUCAAAAGAUUGAAUUAUUUUAUUGAUGUUGCUUGCAGCUCUGCGGUUAGCCUUCCUUUCUGGUAGAAGCCAUGUUACGGGUACUAAAGCAUACCUCUGAGGAGAACACUUUCUUUCAGAGAAAAUGGAGUGGCAUUUGAAGAGCAAUAACGCGUGAGUGAUGGGAAUGCUCUCCCCAGUUCCUCCUCAGCGUUAAUGCUCUUUCUGUUUGAUUUGACUCCACCCUGCCCCCUGGCCCAUCUCAGUCACGUGAAACACAAACGCACUGUGUGCCUUGCAAUCCAUGCCCACAGUUUCUUUCCCUGUUUAUCAAGCACCCCCUCUAUGCCAUAUAAUUAUGAAUUGGUUUUGUAAGUUUUUCGGAGGCAGAGUUGGGGUGGAAUGCAGAGGUCUGUCCAGACCUCACAGAACUUCUCUCUGGCUUGGACUGUUUGGGAGCCAAGCCCACCCUUCCUGUUCUGGAUACCCUCUAUUCACUCAUUUCAUGGAACACAGCAUAGGUUUACUGGCAUAUCCCAGCAGUGCUUUCCCCUGUGCCUCUAUAGACCAGCUAAGAUUAGAUCCAAGGAUCAAUCUACAUAUUAAAAAAAUAGUACUAAAGCCGUCAGGCAAAGGAGAUUUCUGUGCUCCGUCUCGGACCUGGAUAAACAUCCUCAGGAAAUCAACAUGAAUUUAUAUACAACGACCAGAAAGAAUUGCCCCCUAAGUGAACCCUAUGUCUUUUGGGUAUAUGAAUCCUCUCAAUAUGAAUAAAAAAUUCCCCAGCCUCCUCAGAAGGUUUGAGAAAGCAGGGCAAUGAGAAGGGUUUGUUGAGUUUUAUAGCUUGGCCUGUGUAUGACAUUUAUUUUUUCAGCCUGUUCAAUAUAUAGUUCCUUUGCAGCUACAAAUAGACUUCUUCAUACAAGAAUUUAAACUAAUUUCCUCUCUGCUUUUUCUGGAAAUUCCUUUAUUUCCUCAAGUCUGGGACAAGAGUAUUUUCGCACAGUUGGCAUUCUUCUAGAAGAAAUGUCUCUUAGUUGGAGACCACCCAUCAAAUUUGCUUCAUUCCUCCAAGGUUGACACGCACAGAACAAGAUUCCACUUCCUAUCUAGAGGAAGCCUGUAUCACCCCUGCCUUUUUUUGUACACUAAUAGUUCUGCAUAUUUCAUGUUCACAAGAGCUCACAUAGUAGUGCCGUUUAUAGAAAACUUUGGCACGGGUUUCAUUUGGGAAUUUUUAUCAUGGUAUCUGUCAUUCUCCCAUCUAGUCUAGCAGAUGAGUCUCCUAGUCUAGUCUGCCAGAGCUGCUCACUCUUGAGUUCCUCGAAAAGCCUUUUUGUUGCUGAAACACCUAAAGUGGAAGCGGAUAUUAACAAUUCCGGAGCAGAAAGUACAUUGAUCUCAGGGGCAAGAGGUGAAUGUGCUCAUCUCAGCUCUGAUAGUAACUUGCCGUGUGAUCUUGGGCAGGUGGUUUGUUCGCCGUGUUUCCUCCAUCUGUAAAGGGAUGAUUUGAUAGAUUGGGGGGGGGGGGCGGUCCUCACCAGUGUCGAUUCGUCGCGCCCUCUCUGGGCACGGACUCCCUGUAUUACAUAAGCACUUUGAAUGCCUAACAGCAGCCUUGUGAGAAAGAUACUAGUAUCCUUGUGCGCUCGAUGAGGAAAUUCAGACUCGGCGUGUUUGAAUAAUUCUCCCAAGGAUGCACAGUUAGGAGAAGGAUGGGCCUGCAUCUGUUCUCACUUUUUAGCCAGUUCUCAGAAGAGGGGUCACCCUGGGUGGCCUUAUCUUCACAGAAGGUAAACAACACGUAGGAGAGGAGGAGGGAAGAUGUGUGUUCCUUUUUCUGAUGGUCCCUUUAGAGCUCUCAUUAGAAGGUAGCAGCUUCCCCUCUGUAGGCUCGUGAAUAGUUUAUUCCUAGGGACUGGUCUCCUUUAUCAUUUAUCAGAAAACUCUCUCACCCUCUCUGCCUUCAAAAGGAAAAAACAGUACAAAACCACAGUCUGAAAAUGGUAAAGUUCAGCUGCCUUAUUUAAGAAGUGCUUGCUCAGAAUUUCCCCAUAGAUCCAGGGUCAUAGAUCCAGGGUCACAGCUCCAAUUGCACUUUUCCUGACAAGCUAUCGCUGAAGUGCCCUUCAGCGGAAACCUUUUGAUGCCUUUACUGCCUGGCUUGUCGUUCAAGUCAUCAGAGUUAAUUCCAGUCGUGCUUAUGCAGAAGAUCUUCUCCCAAGCUGAUGGGGAAACAAUGCCACAUCUUCUAGGAAGGGUGACAGAGGGGCUCCCCCUGUUUAUGUCCAUUUGUGUUUCUGUCCCACGUCCUCCGAGGUGGCAGGGAGGUGAUGACGCCCAGCCCAGUAUGUGCAUAAGAACAUGUGCUCAUUUCCUGAGCACUGGAUAUCUGCAUUUGAUGGGUUUUACAAGCAUAUGUAUGAAGGGUGGUAUCACCUACGCUGUUGGAAAGAUUUAUUUUCUAAUUAUACAUCUAUCGGUCUAAAAACUGUUGUUUCAUUCAGAGACAUGAUUGGAGGUUUUGAGUGAGAAACACCUAAAUUUAAAUCCUAGCCCUUGUUAGGUAGCUCUCUAUCCUCAUUCAUGAUAUUUAAUCUCUCUUAAAACUUUAUCAUCAUUCGGUUUGUCUGCUGAAGCCCAAGGAAUACCAUUCAUAAGUUAAGGUUAGCUUUGUACUUGCUGUGUGUUUGAAAUACCGGAGCCAGAUGCUGUGUCAGAAACGUUCUCUCUUCCCCAAAUCUGGUAAUUAGGGUUGUCAUUUCGUAGAAUGGUUGGUUAUAAAUAAUCGAAAGGCUUUAAAAAUUCUCUCAGGUGUGGCACUGUAAUAAUCUUAGCUUUAUUAAGUAAUGCUGGUGCACAAUCAAAUCAGUAUUUUAAAUAUAUUCAUUUUCUUCGAGCAUUUCCACUUCACGCAGCCUAACAAGUACUUCUCUUUUCCUCGCCCCAAGUCUCAUCUCCUUAAUGUUGUAACAACACCACCGACCUGCAGUCCCAUGGACUCCCCUUCACAGUCUGUCACAACUUCGAGAUAUUAGCAUCACCAGAGAUCUGUGACCCAAUAGGCUUCAUCUGUAAAAGGUGAGGGAUUGGGUGCACUGCUUUCCAACAUCCUAAUAGCACAAGACUUCUCUUCACGAAUCUGCUGUAUUUAACAAACCUAAGUUUAACUGCCUUGUGGAGGUUGGGUUGGGGGUUUCUUUCAUGGAGUUAUCGCACUCACUUAGACGAGCGCGUCCCAGAACUGCCUGCAGAGUCAUGGAUGUGCCGUCGGAGCCCAGUGCGCACCCAUCACUGAACGCCGGCCGGCCAGGGAGCCAGCACAGCCAGGGUCUGCUCCCGGCCCCGGCCAGCUGGCGGGCGAUCGUCGAUGCCAGCUCCCCACGGGUGUGGAGGGGUGCCCCGUGCCUCCGAGGCCCCCUUUCAGGCCUGACGUUUUCUGAUUCUGAAAAUAAUUGACGAUGAUUGUUAGAUCCCAGAAACAUACUUGUGAAUGUUGGAUUUUGACCAAGGGUGAGGCGUGUCUCUGAUCCUCUGCAUUUACUGAAUUCACUUUAAAAGGAAAGCUUGGCUGCCGGGAUGUCACAGGCAGCCUGUCGCCUUGAGCAUGGGGAGUGACUGGUGGCGUAAGCUGAGUUAUGCAGCGGUGGUUCUCUGCUGGCAGCCCCGGCUGCGGGGCCAAUUCCAGACAAGCCCUUGGCUACACUUUGUAGAAGCUUUUAACCCCCGGUGAUGGCAGGGAUGUUGCAUGGAUCACGGCGGCUUCCGGGGACCUGUGAGCUGUGACAGAAGCUGCCCUUUCACACAGGUGACAGGUCGUGGAUGCCUCAUUACCAAUGAGAUUUCUUCACUGGGACUCGACAGACCUUCCAAGAAGGAGUGGGAUGAGGAAGGGAGACCGGGGGAAAAGAGCCAGAAUCCGUUGUCCUGCGGCUUCGAUCCAGGUUCUGUCUCCGCUGGGCCAAACUCAGCACUUGCUUUUUUCAGUAACUCUCAGCUGUUAUUUAAAGUUUGCAGCUGUCUGUAUAGCUGUCCACGUUUUUCUUAAUAUUACGUAUUUUUCUUACUGGAAAUACUUUUUAAACGGAGCCCAUUUUUCCCUACAGGCCAGUGCCCGUCCUUUUUUCUCUCCUGGGCAGUUCAGGGAACCGCUAGGAAGCGGCGUGGCCCCGUGGGUUUCUGGGCCCUGCGAAGCCUGCCCCACUGCAGCCACAUCGCGGCUUCAGGACCAGGAGCCGGUGAGCUCGUUGGGCUGAGCACAGGGUGCUCGGGGCUGGAUGCGGGGCCAGCGCGGCGCAGGACACCCAGCGCCCCGCCAGGGAGCUCCUUCCCCGCCCGCCAGCUGCCGAGGGCAGGCCUGCCGCGCCCUUGCUCCCCUCUCCUGCCACUGAAACCUGUUGUCCUCGGGGCCACCAGAGCACUCAGGUGUUAACUCCUCAGCAUUUCCUGCAGGGCUUUGCCAGGGCCUCUGACUUCCCGGGGAGGCGGGUUGUCUUCUGUGCCCCGAGCUGCCCCCGACCCCGCAGCGUGGUCAGCGCCCAAGCCUUUGCUCUCGACACGUGGGCCUCGCUGUCACGCAGGUCGACCCUCCCAAGUGCUUCUCAGUGGCUUAGGUAGAACGGUGAAGACUGAAUUCCAAGGGGCAGUUUCUGUAUUAAUGUUUUUCACACACCGGGAAAAGUUUAUCCACCAGAAAGAACUGGGGGCACUCACUCACUCUCAGUGAAAGGGGUUUCCAAGGCUACAAGAGUAUAUCUAAAUCAAAUUUUAUAGCAUUCAUUUUAUUAAAAUGCAGCUGAAGGACCGUGCUGUGAGGCAAUGCAGUGCGGUCACGGAGGCCUCAGCUCACAUGCUGCCGGGGCAGGCUCAGAGUCAAGGAGGGGCUGUGAGGCGCCCACCGCCCCUGACUCCUGACCCCCUGUCCCCGUGCCCUGCCACGUCAGGUGCACACACAGAGGGAUGAGGUGCAGACCCCGAGCCCUCGGAGCUCGUGCAGCUUUACUGCUGGAGGGAUCUGGAAGGCAGGUACUACCUCUGGCGGCAGUAAGCGUUCGCAGGGAGGUGAGCAGAUGUCUGUAAAGGGCUUAGGUCUGGCCAGAGAAGUGACUCAGGGAAGAGCGUGUAUGCCUGUCCAGACCUGUGCGCAUGGGGCCCUCGAGGCUCUGCGUGAGAAUCCCUGGCAUUCAGCCGUCCUGUGGCCUCCCAGGCUUUGCUUCCCAGAUGGACGAGGGUUGUGUGUGCCCUUUCCUAGUGCCUCAUAGAGCCCUUUCACACAGCAGGUGACGGGGGUUUUGUUUAACUCUGUUUUCCUUCAGAAAUGCAACUGCUGUCUCAAAAGCAUAGGCCCCGUAUCGCCGAGUCAGUUAGUCUCUUUGUGUCCGUAUCGCCGAGUCAGUUAGUCUCUUUGUGUCCAUAUCGCUGAGUCAGGUAGUCUCUUUGUGUCCGUAUUCUUCUCAGAGGUAGUUCACCACACCUCCUCCUCGAAACUGUAUUUGGUCCUGUCUUUUCCUGCAGACUGUUGCCCUCUGUGUCUAGUAGAUGCUUGAACUUAGGUGUCUUACCAGCACAUGAAACCCAUCAGAACCAAACCAUGACCAGUGACCUUGUGUUCCUCUUAAACGAAGUUUCCUUCACAAAUUCCCGGUACCUCCAUUCUCUCAGGACUCAGGCUCAAAUCUCCCUCUGCCCUUCACAGGGAGAAUGGAACCUGGGCUGUUCAUGUCAUCCCCUGAAAAUAAAUCCAAGACUGUUCUCAGUCCUACAAAACGGGAUACCUGGGAAUGUUAAAAUAUAUUCCAAAGCACUGCCCUGAAGGCCGACUGUUUCUGCAGGUCCUGGCCUGGUGUGCGCCCCUCACGUGCACAGUCGGGGCCGUUGAGCUGCGUCAGUGCGUCUUGGCCCCCAGCUCCUCCUGAGUACCUUCUACGCCUACCUCAUCGUGAGUCACCAGUGAGCACCUUUUUGACGUCGGACUUCACUUGAGGUUCUGUUAGAUAUUCCUGAGCAGGUGCUCAUCUGCUGAGAUAGCCUCACUUCUAGCGUGGAAGCACCUUGGUGUCGUGGCAGCCUGACUUCCCACGGCACUUGCGGUGCCUCGAUGCGUAUUGACAGGCUCAGCUCUAACUGCUUGUGUCAAAGCACUUUGGGAGGCUCAGCAGCCUUGUGCUUUUUUUUUUUUUUUUUUGCGGUACGCAGGCCUCUCACUGUCGUGGCCUCUCCUGUUGUGGAGCACAGGCUCCGGACGCGCAGACCCAGCGGCCAUGGCUCAUGGGCCCAGCCGCUCAGCAGCACGUGGGAUCUUCCCGGACCGGGGCACGAACCCGCGUCCCCUGUAUCGGCAGGCAGACUCCCAACCACUGCACCACCAGGGAAGCCCACUUGUGCUUCUGUAAUUGACAUCAAUAAUGUGUUUGCAUUUAUCAGUAUUUCCUAAUUGCCAAGUUAUAACAGUGGAGCUUCUGUGAUAAAUCGUCUCUACAGAUAUCUUCAGACAUUAGGGCUUAAGGUUCCUGUCAAUAUUUUGAUGUGCUAUAAAUUGUUUUUAUGAGGACUUUUUUCCUGUAAGAAAGGAGGAACUGUGCAGCGGGAGACAGAAUUGAGUCAGUGUGUCACCAUAUAAACUUAAGUUAAAGAGCCACAUCCCUCCAGUGAAAACAGAAGGAAGUGAUGUACAGGCCAGUGCAGUACAUUCCCGUAAAGUGCAGCGUCACCAUCCGCAUGAAUGCUAAUGUGUCUCCCCGGAGGGUGAUAUACUGUGCCAGGGCCCUGGACCAAAGGAUAGUGAAUAUUCCUACGAAGAAGGAAAUGUUAUCAACUCAUUUUUCAGAAGAGGAAACUUGCUCAAGUCAAAGGGUGACUUUGCGAGGCUAGGUCUCACACCCAGGGCUGUUGGAGUCUAUGGCUGGACUCUUGACCCUACAGGGACAAACUCGACCAAACCCAAAGAGAGGGAGACCCAGGUGUUGAAGGACUGACUCCACAGUAUCUGUUACACAGUUGAAGGCUCUAGAAUGUCUGGCUUGGAAAAGAGAUGAACGUGGAAGGCUCUGGAGGUCUGUCCUCUCGUCACCUGCAGGGGGCGGUUAGCCCCCGGGUCUGUGCAUCCGGAUGGCAGCGGUGAGGCCAGUCCUCUGACCUGGCGAGACGAGGCUUUGUGGAGCAGUUACAGGUGUGACUCAGCAGCCACACUGUUCCCAGCAAAUCCCUGCCCAGCCACUCACCAGCUGCCGCCCUUGGGCAAGUCGCUUGGCCGCUCUUUGUCCCAAUUUCCUCAGCCAAGAUGGCAGUGAUGGCAGCACCUGCCUAAUAAGGCUGUCGUGAGGAUUCAGUGAGUUAACAUGUGGAAAGUGCUUACGAUGCUGCUUGGCACGUAGUGUGAUAUAAGGGUUUGCUGUUGUUUCAGUAUAAAGCCAGACUAGGCGUGCGGAAGAGUUCUCUAAAAAAAUCAGUCAACGUUUGUCCGUUAUUUCUGCCACUCUGUAUGUACUAGACACUGUUCUGGACACUGUUCUAGACACGAGGAUACAGUGACGGUAAGACAGCGCUCGUCCCUGCCCCGCCCUUGCGCAGCCUACAUUCUGCAUUAGAGAGGAAGGAAGUUACCCUGUGAAUCACGAAACAGCCGAUGAGCACAUGAACGAGCCGCUUCUGAGAGAUGAGCCCCAGCCCUUCCCCUGGUAGCACUGAAGAGGUCAGGCAGAGGCUGCCUGGGGUCCUUAUGAGCGGGGCUGCCUACUGUGGGUUUUUAUAGUGUCCCUAACAUCCCUCUGCAGAGGAGGGUUAAUUUAAGGCACCCAGUGAUUAAGACACCAACAUGAAUGCCGCUGUGCUUUAGAACUGCCAUCCUCUGGAUCACCAUGGUGAGCGGGUGCAUCUCAGGAAUUAGGCAGGACAAGCCUUUGCGGUACAAGCAGGAAGUACAGAGCUUCUGCCCAGAUUUUGUAUCUCAUCUUUCAAAGUGCCUCUACUCUUGGACGUAUUUUUAACUGCAUAAUUUGGUAGCACAGGAGCACAUGUUGAUGAUUUAUAAAUAACUAUAAACAUACACUAAGGUUGCAUGUGUAAACAUCCUUUGCUAAUGAGGUGAACAAUUUAAAAAGCUUAAGUUGUACCAGAAUACUUGAGCAUGUUACCCCUGAAGGGCCAGACCCUGCCUUUGGGUCCCCCUCCCUGCGCCCAGCCAACUCCACCAUCCUCACCCCAGUCCUUUUCAGCUGGAAGUGACUGCACUUUAAAUGGCAUUCACUUACAGGCCUUGUGGGAAGCGAACUCCAAGACUCUCAGCAAAGGAAACAGGCUGACUUUGAGUCUCUGAAGAGGUGGAUUAUAAUAAACUCAUUCAUCACCUUUGCCCGUCUCAGGCUUCCGUGAUCACCUGUGCAUCUUGACUCAGGUGGCUUCCUGGUUUCUUAGUGUUGGCGGGGGGCGGGGGGCAUCAACACUUCUUUGCAUGUUAAAAAUCUCCUUUAAUUUCGUAACACCUGUAAUAUUUACUGACAACAUUGAUGAGGUUUGCAAAUUUCACUUUGAAGAAGUUCAUUAUGCACCCUUCUAGAUGUGUGCUCCAUUCAGAUGCCUUGGGAGGAACCUAAGACAGCUUAUGGGCUAACGUUAAAACUCGUCUUUCAGGCAUGUUUUCUCUGAAAUGAAAAGUAGUGUCUCGUUUUUCUCUGGAUGGUGUUCUCCUUUUCUUUUUUUUUUUUUUUUUUUGGCCGCGCCACAUGGCAUGUGGGAUCUUAGUUCCCCCACCAGGGAUAGAACCCACAUCCCCCGCGUUAGAAGCGCGGAGUCUUAACAACUGGACUGCCAGGGAAGUCCUGGAUGGUUUUCUCCUUUAAAAAAUUAUUAUCUUACUUGAACUUAAGCAGCUUAUGUAAGAGAAUGAAUAUUUUGCCCUUUCCUUCAUUUCACCAAUGUUGACAUUAAGUUGCAGGCAUAACUCUACCUCUAUAGGUGUCAGUUGGAUGUCUUCUUAGAACAAGGACGUGCUUCUUGCCUUCUCACAGUUCCGUUUUCACACCUCAGAAUUGAGCAUCAGUGUGUGCUGGCCGAUACCGCAGUCCAUCUUCACGUCUCCAGCUGUCCCACCUUUCACAGUUGUUUCUAAUCCAGAAUCUGUUUAAGGAUCAAGUGUUGCAUUCCGUAGUCACGUCCCUUAAGUCUCCUUGAAUGUAGAAGAGGCCCUCUGCCUUUUUUUUUCAACUUUCAUGAUAUUGGCCUAUUUAGUCUAGACUGUUGGCCAGUCUGAAUCAGUCAGAGUAUAUCGGAAUAAACCCUUGGGCAGGAACCCUGAGUGGGUAAUAAGGCCUCCUCCCUUUCCACCCCAUCAGGCGCCCAUAAUGUCGGUGGUACCAUUAUUGGUUUGUGCUCAGUUUGAUCCUUUAUUAAAGUGGAGGCGAGAUAUUUCCAUUAUAAACAUCCCGUUUCUCUUUGUGAUUAAUAAGUAAACUGUUCCCCAACAGCCUUAUGCCCAGUGGUUUUCAGACCCAUUAAUGCACCUUGCCUUAUUUACUUAGUCGUUGCACAAUGGUGAUUUUUCUAAUUCUCUUAUAACCUUGUUGGCUUCUGCAUAUCACUCGGGGGCCGUUUUUUGUUGUUUUUUUUUUUAAUAAUAAUUUCCUUGCUUUUUUUUUUUUUUUUUUUUUUGCGGUACGCAGGCCUCUCACCGUUGUGGCCUCUCCCGUUGUGGAGCACAGGCUCUGGACGCGCAGGCUCAGCGGCCAUGGCUCAUGGGCCAGCUGCUCCACGGCACGUGGGAUCUUCCCGGACCGGGGCACGAACCCAUGUCUCCUGCAUCAGCAGGCGGACUCUCAACCACUGCGCCACCAGGGAAGCCCGGGGGCCGUUUUUAAUGACAGUAAGCCUAAAUUACAGUCAGGUAUAUUUCUCACUAAUCUGUCUUAAUUCUCCCAGUUUAACAAACUCAUGAUCUUAGCCCAAGACUGUGAAUACUCCCUACUAACCCACUCUGAGGGUUUUAUCUUGGAGGUACAUUCUACCCAGAGAGUCACAUGGCUCCACUGUUUCCACUAGAGGCUUGGGGGGUCGGUCUGAUAGCAGAAGGACUUCAGGUUGCUUCCAUGAACUGCCUGCUGGCAGCCAUUCAGCCUGCUUGGACCAUGGACAUGAACGAAAUGAAGCUGUAUCAAUAGGUUCACCUUUAUAGCACCCUUGGGGAGCACAGCUGCACUCUGGGUUUACAGCUUCUUUUCACCUAACGUAUGGUGAACAUUCCCCAUGUGACUCAAUUCUCUUUUGCCUCAGGAUUUUUUUUAUGGCUUCCAGUAUUUUAUUGUAGAGCUUACCAUGAUUUGUUUAUCUACCAAAUGUUGAAAAUUAUUUGGUUUCCUUUUUUUUCCCCUCCUAUUAGAGACAGUGUGGCCAUAAAUAUCUUUUUUUUUCAUAAAUAUCUUUAUGUACAUUCCUGACUGGUUUUCUUAAGACAAAUUCCUAAAAUUAAAAUUACUGGGUUAAAAUAUAUGUGUGUGUUUAAGGUAUACGAGGCAGGUUUUAAACACAGUGCCUUAUAUCUGGUAUCACCCUUCCCCCAGAAACGUGUCCACCUGUACAGACGAAGUUUUACUUAAGGUGUCUGGGUCUCAGGAAGCCAUGGGCUCAGGUUCAGAAGCUUCAGGCUGCAAGACUGAAAUCCGAAAAUUACCCAGGACCACACUCUUCAGGCAGCUCUCUCUGGCUUCCUCUGAUUACUCAAGUCUGCAGUUUCAAACACAGUUUUAAUUCUAAUAAGUACUUGUGAGACUACUAAGAGCUUUUCCAUUACUUGUUGAUAAAAAUAUUUAUGAUCUCAUCUUGGAUUUUCAUUUUUCAAGAAUAGAGCUGGAAUCAGUCCGCAGCACACAGUGAGCCCUCCCCCUCUCACAGUGGAUGAUUCACACGUUUGUGCUCCUGUAACUGAAACAGCAGUGACGGCAGGGUUACAGCAAUUUUUAGAAUUGCAUUUGGGGUUUGAAUUCUCCCUGAUCAGACACAUCGAUUCAGGCGUUCUAAUUUAACUUAUCUGUAAUUAGGAAAACUGAUUUUAGGACCUCUCACUGACCAAGCCACAGCUCUGAUAGAUCUUUUCCAUUUAAGACCUUAGAGUAUACCGUGAUACAGGACCCUAGAUUUUACUCUUGGGACCCUAACCCAGGAACAUCCCCAGUGGGAACUGCAGCCCAGACAUUUUUUUUUUAGUCUUUCUUUCAGCUUGGAUAGAACAUAUUUGCCGGUAAAUUCUCUGGAGCCUUUACUGAGGAAAAGAUUGGGAUUUUGAGGUUACUUAAAUCCACAGCUGUCCUUCUGCCUCGCCAUUAAGACAUAAGAAUUUUAACUUCCACUGUCUGCUUCAUUUCCUCCAAGUACUCAUUUUGGAGCAGCUGAGACAUGGCACAGAGGGGUUUUUUUUUUACUGCAUUAUGUCCCAGAAAAGAGUCUGACCCAGAAUGCUUCCAAAGGUGUCAGAGGAAGAUGACUGACUUAAAAUGAUGUUUUCUGGAAUUCGAUGUUUUCGGUCACAUGAGAAGUGGUCAAGUUAUCAUACUGUGUGUACGUGCAUGUGUGUGUUUACGUGUGUAUAUUUGCAGGAGUGAGGUAAUUUUAAUUAAACAAAUAACAUUCCAUUAAAUUUUCAGUGUCAGAGAUUACAGAGCCUUCACAUUCAGCUGAUUGCUCAUUAAGAUAGUUCAGAACAGGGAUGGCAGUACUACAGAUAGAUACCAAAUGAAUUUUCUUCUAAAUGGACUUUUCCUAAGUAGAGUUACAUUGUGCUAAGAUACAUCUAUAUAUGAGGAAAGCAUUUAAAGUCACAGCUAUUUAAAAAUGUUGAGCGUUCAUAGUUUGAGCCAAACUGUUAAAAAAAAAACUCAAGGAAAUCAAUUACUUUGAGUCAAUUCAGGAAUUUACUGCAACUCCACUACUAUUUAUUCCAUGUGCUUAGUGUAAUACUUCAUAAUUCCAAGAUAAACUCCGAACCGAUUCCAGGAAAAUCCUAUGAAAAAAUUAAAGCAAGGAAGAGUGUGAUCCCUCCGUGUGGGAUCUGAGGCGCAUUAGAAAGCCGGAGACUGAACUCGAAUCUGAUGCUGCUGUUAACUCUCAGAGGACCUUGGAAACAUCAUGUAGGCGCUCUUUGCUUCUGUCUAGUAAGUGGCGAUGUCAGUAUCAGUCUACUUUUCUAGCCCAGAAAAAACAUUCUUUGGGUCAGAUCAACUUCUGUUGUAUAAAGAAUUCUUGAACACAGUAGCACUAUGAUGAAAAUCCCUCGAUUGGGGGACAACAGUGAUUAGAUUCAUAGAUUAAAUGAAGGAAGUAUUGAUUUCUUAGGUAGAUGAUUUAGGCACCUUUGUGGGUUUUUUCUUUUUUGUGCUUUUUGAGUUCUCUGUACUAUCACCACUAACCAUUGUAGACAAAUUUAAAAUCUUUUUAAGGAAAGUUGCAAUCAUCAACAGAAUUGAGUUAUAAGUAGCACUUUGGUUUGCUCUGUCCGAGGUACUGUACAGAGUAAUGUACAGUUUUGUGGUCCCUAACGCCUAGGGCGUUACAGUCAACGUACAUUCAUGUCAAAAUAUAGGGGCUUGUUGGUCCUGACACAGCUGUGAUCGAGGAGGGACUGUUCAAGUCAGAAGAUCUGCUUUCAAAUCCUAGGUUGUGAUCUUAGGCUACCUACUUAAUUUCUCUUUAAUUUAACCCAGUAAAAAUGAGGCUGCUGAGAUUGAGAUGGGGUAAUAAUGUUUCAUAAUCUAAAAAGCGAGAGUCAAGUGAUAAUUACACGUAAUAGGUCGCUGGAAAACUGUAAAAUGAACGAGUUCUAAUAAUGAUAAUAAAUCACAUUUAUUGAGCACUUAUUUUGUACCAAGCUCUAUGCUAAAUGUUUACGUGCACUGGUUCAUUUAGCCUUCCAACCAACACUAUGAAACUACAGUUUAGAGCAGUUAAUUAACAUGCCCGCUGUCACCCUUACAAGUAAGGAGGGCAGGAUCCACACUCAGAGCCUAGCUCUUAAGCACCAGUUGGAAUGAUUUUCAGUAUCAUAUGUUAAGAUGAAGGGGAACAGAAAACACAACCAAGAAGCCCCUUGUGAUUUACUAGUUAGAUAACUUGGGGUGUUCUCUGUCUUUUUUUUUUUCCCCAAAAUUUACAUUGAUUUACUGGUCAUUUUUUAAUCAAGGUAAUACACUCUCAAGAUAAAAAACUUAAAGGCAGAAAGAAAGUUGUUCUCCUCACCCUCCUCUCCUGGCUCUGAAGCUCACUUUCCACAGUAAGAUUCCUAUGUGGCCUUCCAGUAAUCCCCUGUGCAGUUAGAGGUAGAGUGUGUGUGGCUGUGGACAUGGAUGUGUGCACUCUUUUUUAUUCAACACAGAUGAUGUUACACUAUAAAUACUCCUUGAUAGCCUCUUUUUUCCCACUUAACACAAUAUAGCUUAUAAAAUACAUUGUCACAUAUCAGAACACGUUUUUCUUUUUUUUUUUUUUUUUUUUUUUUUUUUUGCGGUACGCGGGCCUCUCACUGCUGUGGCCUCUCCCGUUGAGGAGCACAGGCUCCAGACGCGCAGGCUUAGCAGCCAUGGCUCACGGGCCCAGCCGCUCCGUGGCAUGUGGGAUCUUCCCGGACCAGGGCACAAACCCGUGUCCCCUGCAUCGGCAGGCAGACUCUCAACCACUACGCCACCAGGGAAGCCCACGUUUUUCUUUUUUAACAGCUGAAUAGUAUUCCACAAUAUGGAUAUGUUGUCAUUUAACUAACUGGUCCCCUGCUGGUGGACACUGACAUUGGUCUCAGCUUUUUGCCAUCAUGAGCAGGGCAGGAGUGGACAUCCCGGCACCUGUGUCUUUGGUUAGGAUAAAGUCAGGGGGUGUGAGCGCUGAAAAUGUAGACCUGCAUCCCCACGCUGCCGAGCAGCUCACCAUCCCAGCGGCCCUGUCCUCGCCCUCACCCUUCAGCCCUGAGAAUAUCAAACAUUUUCAUUUUUAGCAAUCCAGUUUGUGAAAGAUGGUAUCUCUUUAGUUAUGGGUCAGGCUGGGGAUAUUUUAUGUAUAUUAGCCAUGUGUUUUUCUUUUCUAUAUUAAUCACUGUCUUAUUAUUUCUUGUUGUAUUUGUCACACGUAUAUUUCCCUCAUUUGUCAUUUAUUUUUUAGCCUUGUUUACCACGUUUUUCAUACAGAAGAUUUUAAUUUUUGUAUCGUUGCAUUCUAUUUCAUUGCCUUUGAAUUUUAUAUCAUGCUGAAGUCCCAAUCCAAGAUUUUUUUAAUUCUCUUAUAUUUUCUUCUGGUGCUUUUAUAGAUGCUCUUCUAUGUUUAAUUCUUGAUGCACUUAGAAUUUAUCUUGGCAUAGGAACAGACUUUGUCCAAAAUGAUAACCCCUUAUCCCAGUGCCGUUUAUUGAAUAAGUAGACGGUUUUGUCUUCAUGGAACUUACCAGGCCAGAAAACCCUCUCUCCCUCCUUUUACCUCAUAAAGAAGCAGUUACCGGUUCCACUUUGGCUCAGGCCCGGUUUCCUCCUCUGGAGCCCUGCCGACCCUGCUGCUUCAGGCGUCCCCUGAACCUCCUAGAACCUCCCCUCCCUCUCCCCUUAAGACCGUCCAGCCUCCCACCUCCAGAAUACCCUUGACUUCCUUGCUCCCCGCCAGCUCUUCCCCUUCCUUCUGCAGGUCCCUCGCUCUCACGGCUCCACCUGCCCCCCGCCCCCCGCCAGGCUGGAUCCCAGCGGGGCUGGAGCAGCUCACGCAGAGCCCCAGGUUCCUAACAGCCAGGAGCCCCUUCCCUGCCCGCAUCCCGGCCUCUCAGCGGCAUCCAACCACUCUGACUGGCGCUCCUCGGGAGCUCCCCCACGGCGUCCAUCCCCACCCCCUCCCCUCCCGUCCUGUGGUUCUGGCUCUCCACCUCUGUCCCUCGGGAACAGGCCCCACUCUUCCUGAGGAUCGCGCCUCUCAGGUGUGUCUCCAGUCGUUACAUCCCACCUGAGCACAGGCGGUGAAACCAAGGGAGCCUGUGGUCGCAGCCGCUGCUGACCAGCCUGUGGUCCGUAGGAGGCCCCUUCCCGUCUCCCAGCCUCCACGUGGCUCUGUCUCCUGCUGGACCCUGGGUUUUCAUGGGCAGAGACUAGAUACUAGCAUAUUUCGUAUUAGACUAGAUUUUGCCUUUUUGAGGGCCCUCUUUGCGUCAAGUAUUAGACUGUGGACUUUAGCUCAUGUCUGACAAAGGAGGUGUGUGUUGGUAUUCAUUUUUUACUUCGACCCAGAGCUAUUCGAAACCAAAACCCAUCCCUUCCCAAUAAAUGUCGGUAUGUCUCCAGAAGCUUAGACCAUCUGAAAGACAACCUGUGUUCUAGGAAAACACCCUUUGCGGCCGUUUUGGAUGCCCGGGCCCUCUCCCUCCGCCAGGCCUGCUCCGUGGCUCAGUCAGCCCCUUUGUGCCAGGCUUUCCCAGGACUUAGGAACCCAGGGGUGAUCGGACAGACUCAGCCUCAAGGGGCUGCUGUAGGAGACUGUUGUAAUGAGGGGACACACGGCAGGAGGGGGAGGAGGGGCACGGCUCCCAGAAGCACCAGGCAAGGAGCAGGUGGGAGCUGCCCGGUGAAGGCAGGGCCCCCCGUGCUGAGAGGGGGCUUCGGAGAUGAGCCUGCGCUUGGGCUUUGCUCUGAGGGAGGGGCCCCUGGAGGGUUAGCUGGAGCUGGGGCACGACCGCAGUUCUUCUUCGGCACUUGCGCAGCUCCCUGCUUCUCUGCUGAUAUCUGCGCUGACCCUCUGUUUAUUGCCCUUUGGAAGCACCUGGGGAGCAAAGGCUGUUUCUUUACCCCGAGAACUUAAACAGGGCCUGGUCCACAGCAGAUGCCCAUCAGGGUUUGGUGGGUGAAUGAGUGUGUUAGAAUGCAGGGAAUAUGACCAAAGGGUCUCCUUUUCCUUAAAAAAAAAAAAAAAACAUGAACUCAAGAGUUAUUUAUAUCUUAUUUUCUUUAGAGAACCAGAUCCAUUUUCCAAACACCAGAUGGCUUAAAUUAGCUUAUUAAAAUGGUAAUAAGGUUGAUCUUUAUGAAAUAUAGGCAAGUCCUUUUUGUUUUUGUAGGGUUUUUACAGCAUCUCCACAGAGUGAAAUCAAGCCUUAAUAGAAGCAUGAACACCAGGUUAAUAUCUAUUGCCUUCUAAAGGGGAAAGAUAAAGCUUUCUUUCCUUUAAAGAGAAAAGGAAAGAGGGGAGACUCUCCAGUUAUCAUUUUGAACCCUUUAUGAUGAAUUGACACGCCACUCACCAUUUGUAUCCUGCUUUAGUUUUUGGAAUUUGUUUAUCUUAAUACGCAGCACCAAUAAUGUGGACAUUUAAGAAUAUACAUGAAAAAGCAUUUGUCUUCGCUUCAGGCCAGUCUGAGACAAGAAAAUGGACUAGAUUACCCCCUUAGUACCUUCUGUAAAAGCUUCUGAUACAUAAGUAAAUAAGACUUUUGGUUCUUAUUAUUCUUAACCACUCAAGCAGAGCUUUAAACAAGAUCCAGCCUUUCUUAUUUAGUUGCCAGAUUUGUUUUCCUGCCUCUUCUGUUUAUUUCUUCCCACAGAGUCAAAAGAUGAGAAAUGACCACUUCUAACCACAUACUUAAUUUAGCGGCUCUGAGGGGGAAGAGAGGGCUGUGAGGGAGAGAGAAGUGAGCUCUGAUGUGCAACGCGGCACAGGAGACUAUACAGGCUUAGCAGUUACUCAGCCUAGGCAUAUUCUCCAGAAACUUCAGCAACCAGGAUCUCUUAGGAUUAUUAUAUUAGUACAUGUUGAUCCCUUUUGAUGCAAAACCUUUCUUUGCUAUAUAAUGGUUCCAAAUAUAAUAAUAAUAACAACAAGAAUAAUAAUAAUCGCCACCAUUUGUUCUGUGUCUUAUAUGCCUGUGUAGCCUGUUUUCACUAAGGUUAAAAAGGAAUGACGCAUGCCACCCAGAGCUGCAGACCCCGCAGUUAAGCGUUUAGGAUUCCUGCCCAAGGGCAGAUGAGAUUGCUGUGCAGGGGUGGAAAGCAUAGGGAGCCUCUCAUCGGUACGUCACAGGAAAGGGCGGAAGCUACACAGCAGCAUAUUUUAUUUUCUCUUUCCUGCAGCCAUUAGCCCAUAAGCUCUGGAUUACCAGAUAGAGACCCAAUUCCUAGACACCUUCCUAAAAGUCAGGGUACACCAGCUGUGAGUCAUCUUUUUCCACGCAGAGACUAAGCCAGGGAGAAAGAGAGGAAGAGAAGCCUUUAAUUCUGAACUAACGUGUCCUAGGCACUCACCCUUCAAGUCUAAGAUUUAUGCUUUCAUUAUAGUUUCUACAACUGUGUGUGGCAAAUGCUAGAUUAUAAAAAUAAAGCAUACGUGCAGACUAAAUCUUUUUACAAUAAAAAUCUCUCUAUAACAUAAAAUAUUCACCCCUCUCAGGUCAUGGCUUCCUUGAAAAUUGAUGCAUUUCAACUAAAGAGUAUAGAAGGUCCAUUGAUGUCAAGCAAAAUGCGACCUGACUAGUAAUUUAAGGUGUCACACGGCCACACUGGUUACUGUGCUCUACACACAAUUGAAAGAAGAACCUAAACUGAGAUUCUUCAAUGGGGUCACAUCUCUAAAAUACACACGCUCGGCUUGUAGUUACGAGCACCUCGACGUCCUAGGCAGACCUGCGGCUCCAAACCACUGUCAGGACGAAAGAGACGGGCGCGGCGUGCCUCCGAAGUGUCGGUUGCUGUUUAAUAUCCGGGCGCUCACGGCCAUGGACAAGUUCAUCUCCGAGUUAGUGCUCGCUUCAGUAAUCUUAUACAUGCAGUCAUUGAAACUUGAAAAUGGACUUUUGCUAAACAUUUAAGCAUUGAUUAAAAGCUUAAUUAUAUUUCCUCAACCAAUUUAAAAACCAGUUACUAAUCUCAUAUAGUGGCUUCUCUUAAACUCUCCAAACACCUUAAAAAGUAGCUAAAACAACACAGAAAUCGUCAUUACAAAACCAAUUACUACAUUUACACCUAAACCUGUUCUAAAAUAUCAACAGUUUUGGUUUAACUCAAGUCUUCAUUAUUUCUACACAGCAUCCUAGGGUUUCAGAAUGUCACAUUAAUUAAUACCUUUCUCAGUUUUAAUAGUAAAAGGAAUACCUGAGCUUACAUUACCUGAUGCCCGGUCAGAGCACUGGUCACCAAUCUGAGCUGCCCUGUUGUGGGUAAAGUUCACUUGUGUCUUCAGUGUGACUGUGUGUGUACGUGUUUCUGUGUUUCUUUGUUCAGUGGGAAUGCUGUUAGCAACAGGGAACCAAGAGGACCCACGUGAAGAAAGAAAUGUUCUCUUGGAGAUGCCAGCAUCCUAUCUUCUAGGUAUGUCCAGCAAACAGGUGAAAAUGCAGACCUAGAGCUCAGAGGCCACGUGGGGCAGGAGGCCUGAGUUUGGAAGGCACCUGCUAAGAGGUGAAAGCCUGAUCCCGGGCCAUGUUGCCCAGAGGGAGCAAGCAGAGACGAGAGACCAGGAGGGGCAUGCAGAGGAGUUUCAGGGCGUGCUGUGCGCCUGUGUCCGGUACUCAGAGCUCAGCAGGAGGCCUUCUGGGAAGAGGCGGGCGGGAGGCCAUUCGUAACUCCAAGGUCAGCCUCAUGGGAGAGAACGGAAUUGGCAGAGCGAGCUAGUGGUCCAGAGGCAGAGGCACCAGAUGUAGAAGAGAAGAUUGGUAGUAAAGGGCAGGAAGGAACAAGCAACUGUUUGAGAAUCUGGGGAACAGGAAGACAGGUCCAUCUGGGUUUUUCUGUGAGGAUGUAAAGAUUUUAUUAUGUUUGUUGACUAGGAAGAGGGAACCAGUGCAAAAGAAAUCAUCAAAUACACAGUAAAGAGUAGAAAGAACUGAAUGGAGCAAGGUCCUAGAGCAACCAGGGAAAAGCGUGUUUUCCUGAAGGAGCCUCAGAUACUGCUGGAGAAGCAGGGAGAAUAGAAUAGAUCAGAAGAUGUGCAGGACAAUUCUGAGGCAAAGAAGGAGGAGUCAAAGAAGCUCGUAUUUUCUUUUUCCUACUUUGCUAUUCAUCUUUCAACCUGGUUUGUGUUUGGGGCUAUAAAAAAAUAAUUAUGUAAUGACAUAUCAACAAUUUCUUUUAUACUUUUGUUUUUCUUAGCAUGAAAAUUCAUUCAUCUUACAUGGCCCUGAUUCUUUCAAAAAAUUUGAAGAGCAAAACUUUGUGUUAAGUUUAGAUUAUAGGAUCAAGAUGUAUUGCUUGAGAACAGAAAAGUUGAGAAGGUUUUGUUGCAGUAGAUGUAGAGAACGUGAGGGGGUUUGUAAAGAAUGGGUAUGAGGAUAAUUGUGCAACAGGGAGGACAAAUCUAAAAUCGAAUAACACACUUCAGGAGCAGAAAGGGAAAGAGAGGUUGGUGCCGUCUUCCCCAGGCUGGGCUUGGCAAGGAGAAUGCAGCAGCGGAUGUCAGGUGAAGCAAGGGUACCCAUGCCGGCAUCCCUGCGGUGACUGGUCACCAGGCUCCAUCUGGGCAGAGCAGCCCUGAAGUUGGAAGGGCAGCUGGGCCAUGAGAAUAGGAGGGACCAAUCAAUGGGAGACUGCGUUGAAGAGGAAGAGCAAGCCCAGGGGUGACAGGUGGAGAAGAGCAGAAGGAUGGAGCCUGAAUCAGGGUCUGGGGCUUGGAGACAUCAGUGAGAUGCUAGAGUGGGGAAUGUUAGGGAGACAGUGAGUCAUUACAUUUGAGGAUGAUGUGGAAAAGCCAGGGUGAUAUCACAGAUGCUGAAAAGCCUACAAACGCUGGCAGAGGAGCAAGUGGACUGGGGAACUGAGCUGGGUACCAAAGGCAGCAAUGGAAGGCAAUCAGUACACAGCAGCCUCAAGUUUGGGAAGAAGUCGCACUGUCACUGCGUACACCUGCUCAGCCGUACACGGUGCCACAGAGGAAGUGGAGCGAGCACGUGCUGUAAACUUCAGAAGGAUCCAGAGGUUCCACAGGGGCCUCGGGGACUACGGACUCUUCAGAGGCAUCGGUAACCAUCUCCUGGAAGACGCUACUCAAUCAUCGUUUGUGGGUUUAUGGUGAGACUUAGCUUGUUUGUUUCUACCUACAAACCUGUGAUGUGUGGCUGGUAGUAAAGGAAACUGAUUAGCCUAUGUGGCUGGCAUAAUAAGACUGCAUCUGGCAUGGUCACAUCUCCUGUGAUUAAGCACAGUGAGAAGUUAAUGGUACACAGAGCCAUAGCCAAAAGCCGGCUGUACACAUGAUGGGGCAAGUUAUUAUAAAAUUCACCUUGUAUGGCUGUUCUUCAAAAAAUUUAAACAUAGCAUUACUAGGACUUCCCUGGUGGAGCAGUGGUUGGGAAUCUGCCUGCCAACGCAGGGGACACAGGUUCGAGCCCUGGUCCGGGAAGAUCCCACAUGCCGCGGAACAACUAAGCCAGUGGGCCACAACUACUGAGCCCACGUGUAACAACUACUGAAGCCUGCGCGCCUAGAGCCCGUGCUCCGCAGCAAGAGAAGCGACCGCGAUGAGAAGCCUGCACACCACAAUGAAGAGUAGCCCCCCUGCUCGCCGCAACUAGAGAAAGCCCACGUGCAACAACAAAAGCCCAACGCAGCCAUAAAUUAAUUAAUUAAAAAAUAAAUAAAAGACAAGGUUCUUGGCAAAAAAAAAACCAUAGCUUUACCAUAUGAUCCAGCAUUUCCGUUUCUGGUUAUAUGCCCAAAAGAAUUGAAAGCAGAGUCUUAAAGAGAUAUAUAUCCCCAUGUUCAUAGCAGCAUUAUUCACAAUAGUCAAAAGGUGGAAACAACACACAUGUCAAUUGAUGGAUAAAUGGAUAAACAAAAUAUGGUUUAUACAGUGGAAAAUUAUUUGGCAUCGGAAAGGAAUGGCAUUCUGACACGUGCUGUAACAUGGAUGAACCUUGAAGGCAUUGUCUAGAUGAAAUAAGCCAAUCACAAAAGGACAGCUCUCAUAUGAUUCCACUUAUAUGAGGUGUCCAGAGUAGUCAAAUUUGUAGACACAGAAGUAGAAGGAUGGUUGCCAGGAGAAGGGGAGUUAGUGUUUAACAGGUGCAGAGUUUCAGUUUGGGAAGAUGGAAAGUUCUGGAGAGGAUGGAGGUGGUGGUUGUACAACAGUGUGAGUGCACUUUACGUCCCUGAACUGGACACAUAAAGUUUAAAUGGUAAAUUUUAUGUAUAACCACAAUUUUAUAAAAAUGUAGUAAGUUAUUCUCAAUGUAUAAAUGAUAAAUUUUACAUAUGUUUUAUCACAGUAAAGGUAAAACCAACUUAGACCCUGACUUUGAGUUACUGAGGGGUUUUUGUCCCCUUUUUUUUUCAGUUGUGCGUUGAAUUCUCAGUGAGAAAAAAAUCAAGAAGAGCAGGAUCUAUGUAUCGUUUUUAAAUCUUUACAAGAAUAUAUAACCGUGUACGGGUGUAUGUGUGUGUGUCCACAAAUGCAAAUACAUGCUUCAUUCUGCUUCCAAACAGCAAAUUUGAGCUGCCAGUAAACUCCCUUCCUUAAAAGGAACUCACCUUAUGUUAACUCUUUAUAGCAGGGAGGUAUAACCAGAGAAAACUGUUCUAACGCCACCCAUUUUAUUCAUUUCUUCUCCUCUUUCUCUUUGGGUCAGAAAAGCUAACGUACGCAAGAAGUCUCCUAAAGCCAUGACACUAUAUAAGUGAAAGGCACCAAACGAUGGGUGCUGGUCUUCCAGCCUCCCCACUGGGAUCAAGGCCUGAUGCCCCCCCAAGACAGGCGAAAGAGGACUGGGGCAGAGGCAGCAGCCUCAUCCUUUCUUCUAUUCGGAAAAUCACUUUGAAAAGGAAACCUUCAUUUAAACUAACACCUUUUAAUCACUUUAGUAGUCUUUUCUCUUUUUCCUGCUCUGGAUCUUAGAUGUCCCUGCACAGCCCUGGUCAGAGUGACAUCCCACUACAUCCUAAGAACAGGCCAACUCUGCACAUGAGGCAGCAGUGCAGUCACAUCAUCCUCGACAACUCUGCAGAGACGUAGCUUCUGGCCCCAGCUGCUCCUUGUAGCUUUGCUGCACCCACGCACAGCUUGGGGAAAGCCAGUGUCCUUUGGGGGCUGUAAAGUAGGCAUGAUGGGCCAGCUGACCCAGGGCUCCUUUCCAUCACCAAAACUACCUGUUUCCCGAGCCUGGAAUGCACUCACACCCCUCUGUAACCUGUCUGCUCCUCUGUUAGAGUCUUGACCACAUUUCCUGGGUGACAGCAACACGUGUUUUUAUUUUAUGUUGCACUCAGCAUUCCAAGGAAAGACAAGGGAUGAAGGGAAGUAGAUAUUGAUUUAAAUUUCAGCUAAAUCUUCAGUUGGUUGAAGGGUUUCCCUCAGCAAGCCAUGACUUUCAUAAGGAUUGCUAGCAAAUCUCAUACAUUCUCAAUUGACCACUUGUUUGGGGAUGUUUGGGUGUGUGUGUUUUGGGAAGUGUGUGUGCAUUGUAGGCAGGGGGAGAAUUCCUCACAGCCCUGCUCUCAGAAGAACUGAACCCCUGUGGACAGGGUCAAGUUUUCAUGUGUUAUCUAUAUACAUGUGUCCUAACAGGAUGUGCUGGUGCCUCUUUUUCCAAGGGGGUUACAUAAGCAUAAGCAGCAGAGGCUAUGGUGCAAGAUGUGGAAAUACAGGUGUUUAGGACACAUUAGACAGGCAGAGCCCUGGAGAGCACAACAGUGAGAAGGUGACUGCAGCAGAACGUCUGAGUAGAAUUAGCUGAGCACAGAUAAUGUCUGUGGCCCCUUUGGUGCUGUUCAACACUGGAGUGGGUCACUGGCUGUCUUUAUCGUAGUUUAAAAUGGUACCCUGUGUCUGUUAUGGACUGAAUGUGUGUGUCCCCACCAAAAUUCAUAUGUGGAAACCCCUAAUCCCAAUGCAGUGAUAUUAGGUGGGGUCUUUGGGAGGCAAUUAGGAUUAGAUGAGUUUGUGAGGGUGGAGCCCUCGUGAAUGUGAUUAGUGCCCUUAUAAGGGUUCCGAGAGAGUUUGCUUCCUCUCUCUGCUCUCUGCCAUGUAAGGGCACAGAGAGGGGUCCGCACUAUGCAGCCUGGAAGAGGACCCCCACCAGAACCCCACUCUGCUGGCACCUGACCUCAGGCUUCCAGCCUCCAGAAGUAUGAGAAGUAACUAUCUGUUGUUAGAAGCCACCCAGUCUGUGGUGUUCUCUGAAAGCAGCCCAGUGGACUAAGAUAGUGUCCAUGGCAGUUAAGAGGCUCUGAAGGUCACUGACAGGACCACUUCUACCCGAUGUAGAAUGCAGCUUGCUUUGAGGUGCCCGUCCCUGUCAUAUCACAGGAACUACAUAAAAUCUCCUCUGUACAUGAUCUUUAAAAAAAACAACCCUUUUUUCUGAUUUUCAACUUCAUUAUUUUGGCUGCGUUGGGUCUUCAUUGCAGUGUGUGGGCUUCUCAUUGCGGUGGCUUCUCUUGUUGCGGAGCAUGGUCUCUAGGCGCACGGGCUUCAGUAGUUGUGGCAUUUGGGCUCAGUAGUUGUGGCUCAUGGGCUCUAGAGCGUAGGCUCAGUAGUUGUGGCGCACGGGCUUAGUUGUUCUGUGGUGUGUGGGAUCUUCCCGGACCAGGGGUUGAACCCAUGUCGCCUGUGUUGGCAGAUGGAUCUUCAACCACGGCACCACCAGGGAAGUCCCUGAUUUUCACCUUCUUUGGGUUUUACUGAAAUUAAUGUUGGGAUUAAAUUUGUUUUAGGUUUUUCUUCUCAUUCUGAAAUGAUCGAUAGUAAUGCUGAAAGUGAAUUCAUUCGUUUACUUUUCCCUUUUGGAAGUCAUCAGAGAAGGGAAUUACUUAAUUUCAGCCGUUAAGAAGAUAAUUUGAUUCACUAAGGAUGUGUGUACUUUAUAUGUUAUACAUCAGGUUUAAAAAAAGAAAUUCUAGAUACAUCAGCUUUGGAAUUCAUUCAUUUGGAUUAAAUAUAAAUUAUUUAAAUAAAUUAAAUAUAGCACACUCAGUGAAGAAUGCCGGAUGUAGAGGGAGGCCAGGCUUCAGCCCUGAUCGGGUUCAGGAUACUGCACAGGGCCCCCAGCUCUCCGCUUCCGGCCCAUUCCCAGUGGCGCUUACCCUCAGCACCUGGGACGUCCAGCCGUGUGCCGGCAUUGCUCCUUUCUUAGCUGAUCCAGGUUGUCUGUUAAUGCCAUCCCAUCAUUGCAUUUCUUCAGUCCUGCAUUCCAUGGGCGUUAGGGAAAAGAUGACUUACACCAGCACAUUAUUACUGCCGCAGGAAGAUGCAAGCCGGAAGAAGAACAGGGUUGUGCCUUCCUGGCUCUGCCUAGACUGGUGCUUUGCUUCAGACUGAGAUGUAGAGAAGCAGCAAGGAUGUGGGACAGGAAGCCAGGAUGGAAGGCAAAGUGUCUACCGGUCCCUUUACAACACCAUGGAUUGCCAAACUAUGAAGUCUGUCCAUACUUAAAUGUCCUUUUUUUUUUUGCGGGGGUGUGGUUUUGAUAGACGGAGAGUGUUAGAGAUCCACUUUUUUUUAAUAGUUAGUUAGUUGCGCCAUGUGAGCUCUUAGUGGCGGCAUGCAUGUGGGAUCUAGUUCCCUGACCAGGGAUCAAACCCGGGCCCCCUGCAUUGGGAGCACAGAGUCUUAACCACUGCGCCACCAGGGCAGUCCCUAAAUGUCCAUUUAAGGAGCAUCAGUACAAAUGAUUUUUGUUUUUCAUUCCACACACACUCUUCUGCAGAAAAAAAAGAAUUUACUUUUAGAAGCUUGGUUUUUCAAAGAAGCUGUGUUUCGAAAUCUCGAGCAAUGAUUUUUAAGAACCAUAGGAGAGUUCUACAUCCAAGUGUUACUCUUCAAAUUAUUUGCCUUGAAGGGCCUGUUUACUCCAGUAAGCUUCCUUUUCAGAAUCGCCUUCAGUUUUACUUUCUGAAGGCACAUAAGAAAAUUGAGUGGUAUCUUGGCCUCUUUCUUCAUUCUUGACUCUGAAUCACUUUUAAUUGUUUCCAAAAGGUAAAUCUACCCUCAAAGGAUAAAACUUUGCCAACAAAGACAGUAUGCAAAAGAAUGUAGAGUUAUUCAAUAAAUAUUGAGCACCUUCUGUUGCCAAGUGUUCUGCUAGACACCAGGGAUAAAAGAUGGACAGACACUUUCAGUCCUUGCUGUCAUGCUGCUGAUCAUCUUAGGGGAAGACAGACUCUCUCAAAAACAAUUAACUACACAGUGAAAAGUGGUGAUGUGUGUAGGUCUAGCAGGAGCCCCGGGAGAGGAGUGGGCCUCAGAAGAAUUUCGAACAAAGAUACCAUCCAGGAAUGCCUUAUCAUCUCCUAAAAUGACAGUCGUAAGGAAGGUGUGAGGUCUACUGUGUGUCUGGAAAACUGUCUUCAUUUCCUGAUUUUCACUUCUCAUCUCUCUACAAACGCACUUAACCUGGCGUAUUUGCAAUAAUAGGAAACAGACACUGCUACCAUGUGAUAACCUGUCCUUUAGCCCCACAGACUGAUCAAAGAAGAUAAGUUAUAGCAUCUUAUGGCUCUAGUUAGAUUUUAUAUUUUUGUUAGUCAUUUAAAUAACCUGGUGCCAUAAGGACAUAUUUGAUAGCUGUGGCUAAAAUGAUUGAAGAAAAUACUUAAUAAACUAUUCCUCAAGUCAGAACAGUAGGACGGAAACAGCAUGCCGUAGCAAGACAACACAGGAGUGUGGGCCUAGAGGUAAAUUAAGCAAGCAUCCCUCACUCGGAUGAUAAUUGUGUUGGCACCAGAGCGCUUGUGUAUCACUGAAUCAUGCUCUUAAAGAGGCAGUUGGUACUUAAAAAGAAAUCAUCUUGGAGAACAGGACAAGGCUUUUCUGGUCGGGUGAUUUUUUUCCAAGCAAGGACAUGCUUUACUAGGAAAACUUCUUUCUGAGCUCCUUAAUAAUCAACUGUGCCAUUUAAGGAAAGCCAUAAGAAGGUAUAUUCACUAGCAGAGAAAUGUAAAGUUGAAAAAUUUCUAAACUCAGCUGUGAUUUUUGUUUUCUGCCCAAAUUAACAUUUCAGUAGUGGUCACACCAGUCAAGCGCACAGCUCUCUAAAUGCGCAAAAAAAUGGAGAUCGCGGUGGUCCUCCUUCAGUCAUCAAAUUAGCACUUUUCCAUAUUUCUCCUUCAUGUUGCCAUUCUCAAGUUUUACACACAUUUAUGGCAUUUACACAGUAGGGGAUAUUUAAGAUAUUUUCAAAGAGCCAACAACUCUAAACAAAAUGAGUGCUACUGAAAUGUGUCCUUUACCGCAUUAAAGAAGCAUAUUCCUCUGUACAGCCCUGCUUAUAUGUAACUAUGUGAUGGGAAGCUUGGGAAAAUAUACAGGAGGUUUCAGGCAUAAUCCCUCUGCCUCUGUACCAAUGGAGAUAAAAUCGUAUUCUCCCACUCUUAGAAAUCUGAGCUUCAUAUUCACCAAACCUUUGAACCACUGUGAAAUAGGUGAUCAGCUGACAUCAUCCUUGUUUUCAAGAUGAAGAUGGACGCCUCAUUUUCAAAGGAAGUCCGUCAGAUCACAGCAUAAGCAAACGCCCUUUGGUGCUUUAGCCCUCAGGCACAGAGCAGCCAAGAAUUAUUUCCAAACUGCACUGCUUAGAGUGGAGACUGAAAACUGCCCAGCUAACCUCCUUCCCACUGGUUCCUGAGGAGGAGAGGAAUGGACGACAGACCGCUGAGUGUUCAAUUUGAAAAUCUUGGAUGAGGCUUAGAACCCAGCAGAGGCUAACAGAUAGUAGCAUUUGCAGCACAAAAGAAGCCAUUGCAGAGAUUUUCUUAGUAUUCCACAGGCCCUGUCCUCCCAAUCCAUCACUACCACCGGCACUUAACCAUGUACAACAACCACCAUUCUGAUUAUGCUCACAGCCCCUGUGGGUCAGGAAUUCUGAUGCUGUGCAGUGGAAGUGGCUUGUCUGAUCCAUGAUGUCGGCCUCAACUGGGAGACUAAAGCUGCUGGGGAUGGCACAGUUGGCUGGAGUUGGAGUCACCUGGCGGCUUCUUCUCACAGGUCUGGUGCCUAGGCUGGGACCAGCCAUGGCCCUUAAACAGAACAGCUACACGUGGCCAGGCUCCCUGACAUCAUGGCAGCCUCAGACUUCGUACAUUGCGCUCAGAACUGCAGAGGACGGUGCUCCAGAGGACAGGACACAACCUUGCCUCCAAAUUCACAUAGCCUCACUUCUGCCAGAUUCCACUGGUCAAAGCAGUCAUAAGUUCAGAUUCAAGGGGUGGGGACAUAGCCCCCCACCACCACCAAUUCUCAAUGGUAGGAGUGUCACAAAAUUGGUGGCGGUAUUUUAAAACAACCCCAGGCCCCUUCUCCUUAGAAUUGCAACAGCCCUUCGUCCUGGAAUCCUCAGAAGAAUUAUGUUAUAAUUCGAUUAUGAUUGGAUUCUAAUUAUGUUCUCAGACUUUGCUCCCCACCAUCCAGUUCAAGGACGAGGGCUUGGGGCUCCACCUACGUCUCAUUACCUCUGAAAUCACCGGGUCAGUCAGGAAAGAGAAGGGUGCUGGGGCAUAUGGAAAACAUUCACCUGGUGGGACCCGGGGCUGUCUGGGAAGCUUGUACGUGUUAAGGGACAGCUGUUAGUUCCAGCUGAAGGUAGGAAUGAAGUCUUUGUAUUUUCAGAUCUUCCCAUUUUAAUGUGAAACUGGAUUUUGAAAUGUUGGUGCACGUUGUUUUAAACACAUGCUGUGGCCCACCAAGCACAUUUACUGGCUGCAUCAGAUUUUUGACCUGGAGCCUCCAAGGGUCCAGGCUUGUGCUCCUGUCUGUGCUGGCUCUGAACCCCUCUCAUGAAGGCCCAGGACUCAUGGAACAAGGCAAUAUUGAAGAUUGCACAUUUGUGUUGACACGCAGAAGUCUCCACACUGGGUUCUGGGAUGCCCCUCCUUCAGAUACUACGAACUUUGCAUAGUAGUUGCAGAUCCUCUAGCUGAGAAUCUAGGUUUUUCUCAGUACGUGGAAGGCAUCCUUCUCUAUCUGCAGUCAGCGGUACAUGGCCGCAUCCUAGUGCAUUAAUUAUAUGCGUGAUAUACGUAAGCCCCGUUGGCUAAGGAGCGGACCUUUAACGCUUAGCUGGAUAAAACUAAGGAGGAGGAUUGGCUUGUAGUUUGUAUUCUCAGCUCUUCUCAGUAUUUGUUAGAAUUUAAACUUGUCCUAAGCAUGAUAUCUGUUUGAAAUAGAGGCAGGAAAAAUACAUAUUUAUGUAUAUGUACUUCAGUUUAGUAUUUGAGACCUUACAAUUACCAAUUAUUACUAUAAAGACAAAAUUAAAAGUAUAGGAAAAUAGAAAGACCAAGAAGAGAUCUAAGGAAUCUCAAGCUAAAGCUUUGUUUUUCUUUCAGCCUUCCUUGAACUAAUCAUUGGCUGAGUUUAUAACUAACCCCCUCCCACCAAGAAGAAAUGUCCUAGUGGCACCGGCCAAACAGGAUGAAGCACACUGAAUCCUCUUCAUUUUCGUUUUUGUAACUUAGGUCUUCGUGAAAACUUUCCUGUGCGGUGUAAGUCUCUCGGGUUCUAUUCAUUAUCACCUCUGGGGGAAGCCAGGAGUGGGGAGAGAUGGAUAUAUGCCUCAUUUUAACCACAGUAAUUGAUUUUAAAGGUGACACUAUCCUUAGUACCUUAGAUGCCCUGAAAGGGGUGAUAUUAGUUGUUUUUCUCUUGGUGGUGGUGAAAUUUUAAUGAUUUUUUUCAAUAUGCGGUAGAGCUUUCAUUCUUCACGGUAAAGAUGCAUGGUAAGAUCUAAACACAGGCAGCUGCUUGUGGGACACUCUUUAUUUCUCCUUUGUCCUACCUUUAAAAAACAAAAGAGAGAGAGAGAGAAAGAGAAAUCAAGAAUAUUUCCAGAGAAUCUCUUCUGGAAAACCUCAGGUCUGACAGUAGAGAAGUGAGGGGGAGGGGCUUUGUCCAGAUGGUGUCCUGGGUCACGGUUCUCUUCUUACAGAACCCUGGAAGUGGUCACCCGGCCUUCCCCCGUGGGCCCCACCUUGGAAUAGGUCUUUCAGUCUGUAGCUUCGCAUAUCACUUCACAGGCCUCCCUACUCUGCAGCACCCAGGCCUGCCAGGAUCUGCCCGCCACCUCUAGGACAACUUCCUGUUGAAAGAGACUCGGGAAGCAGGCUGCUGUGUCUUGAAAGCUGGUUCGUUACUUUAAGAUAUACCUCUUCAUCAGAUGAAUUUCUCUUUUGCGUACAUAUUUAAACAUGAGCCGCGCACUCAGAAAAACUAACCAUAGAAGGUGACUAGCCCAUAAUAAGCACUCAGUGAAGAGUAAAUUUAUAAAUUAAAAAAAGCUUAAAAUAUGGCAUGAUAUAUUAUUGAAGGAAAGGAUUGCAAUUAUAAACAUCACAUUUAACUCUCUAAAGUGCAGCGCCUGUGAUGCAGCUAGUUGUUCUUGUUCUGUGACUGAUUCAAACUUGUGACACAUUAGCCCGGCACAUCUUGGGUACGUACCUGCAUGUGCUGCCACGCAGGCUGGGACUUAGGGCAGCUCGAGGAGUAGCCUAAGAGGAUCUUGGAGACAGAAGGUUCCAGUUCCUUGAGCAAUGCCCAGAGCAUGGCUCCAUGUAGAGCGUGUGACAGCGUUGCUACAUCUAAUUGCUGUAUCAUAUUUAUAAGCGUGUGAUGGCACAGAGCACAAGAAAUUUCAUUAUGUCUCUGGCAAAUUCAUAUUGAAAGGAAGGACAGAUGGUUGAAAACAGCCAUAAAAUAUUCUAUUACAUGUCUGAAAAUCAUUAGACAGUAGUUAAAGAGAUGUUAUUAAUGGAUCAGAUUCACUUGGGGAGUCAUGUUUCUGUAAUGCACAUUAAAGCAAUGAUGCUUCUGGUGGUAUUUUUAAUGUAAUCAGGGCCAAAGACAAACAUGUCUUCCUGUGUAAUUAGAAAAUGGAUUUAUCGACAGUUAAGGAGCUGCUGUGCAGCUCAGCUCUCCAUCAUCUGGGAGGUUAUUGUUUUAAUCUCCUACCACCAAGGAGGAAAGCGUAACAGUGCUACAGCCCUGGAGGUCACAGAAACAAUGCCAUGUUGUUUUAUUGAUAUAUUCUGAGGAGAUGGGGAAGAGGUCCAAUUAUUAUUUCUGAAAAUCAUCAAAAGCCCCUUUUUAAAAACCCAUAGAUAACUAACCAAUUUGUGAACUAUGAAUGAAUAAUUUGAACCCCCCGAGUGCUUUAACAUGUCCUUUAGAAUUAAUACAAACAUCAGCAUUUUGACUCUGUGAGCGUGAGAAUGAUUUUGGUGUCCGUUUUAUGGCUGAGUGACAAACAGCAUAUCUGUAAGAUGUUGGGGAGCCCUUUAGGCCAGGUGUAGCCACGUGAUGUGGUCCCCACUCUGCAGAGCAGAACAUGCAGCCCUGUGGGUCCAUAUGUCAGAAUCACAGGUUGUUCAGUGCUUGGGGAGUGAGGCUUUCCUUAGGGCAUCUCACAUUGCAAAACAGGAUGGGGCAGUGAAUGAAUCCAGCAACAAAACAAAAGGACUGGAGGAGUUCAAAGAGCUGGGAUCGUUGUUCUCACGGGUCCAGGGCCUCCUGCCACUCAGAGUUGUCUGCAAAUGCUCUCUCCUCCGCUCUUUCUUUUCCUGGGCGUUCUGAACUUGCUGCCCUUCAGACUAUGCUCUUCCCUACAGGAGCAGCGUGAGUUUCAGCCUGCUUUCCCAGAACAUGGGAGAGCCUGGGUUUGUAGCACGUUUUCACUUGUUCCCUUUUACAUCAGCUGCCGACCUGUGGCUUCCAGGUAGGCCUGUAAUCACAUAGUUGGUGGGUCGCCAGAACCCCUUGGGGAGUGGGCAGGAGUUCCUUCAUGCAGCCCGUAAGCUCACGCUGUGUGGAUCAGGAGUGCCUCUCCUGUAGCAUUCGACCUGGAGCUACAGAUGCUGGCAGCAGUCCUGGCAAUGUCCCCACAUGGCUGCGUGGGCCUCACAGGUAGAUUUGUGCACUUGUUCCAGUGGCAUGGCGAUUUUUGUGUCCUGGACUAGGAACUGAUAACCUCUAAGUAGGUUUCCCCCCAUGUUACUGUAAGGAAAGGACCCGCAGCUCUCUUCUUUUUGGUGAUGCAGCAGAAUGAGGGUAGAAUUAUAAAUGAAGAAUGGAAGUGGUAUCAGUUGAACUCACAUGCAAUUGUGACCACUUAAUCACUUGAGAUAAUUUUUAAUUACUUAUGCAAAUAUAUGUGAGAUUGAAUCCAGAUGUCAAAUAAAUAUUUAGUUAUAAAAAAAAAAAAUCAUCUCCCAACAAAGUAAAGCCCAGGACCACGUGGCUUCUCUGGUGAAUUUUACCAAACAUUUAAAGAAGAAUUAACACCAGUCCUUCUCAAACUCUUCCCAAAAUUUGAAGAAGACAGAACACUCCCAAACUCAUUUUAUAA